RNAcentral lists this ribosomal RNA (242 nucleotides) under uncultured bacterium. RNAcentral describes it as "partial 16S ribosomal RNA". It matches the Rfam family "Bacterial small subunit ribosomal RNA", at positions 57 to 305 of the family's 1533-position model. The record is from RNAcentral.
GCAAGUCGAACGGUAACAGCAGAGCUUGCUCUGGCUGACGAGUGGCGGACGGGUGAGUAAUAAAUAGGAAUCUGCCUAGUAGUGGGGGACAACCUGGUGAAAACCAGGCUAAUACCGCAUACGCCCUACGGGGGAAAGGGGGCUUCGGCUCUCGCUAUUAGAUGAGCCUAUUUCUGAUUAGCUUGUUGGUGAGGUAAUGGCUCACCAAGGCGACGAUCAGUAGCUGGUCUGAGAGGAUGAGC